RNAcentral lists this transfer RNA (89 nucleotides) under Oscillibacter sp. Its description in RNAcentral is "tRNA-Ser". It matches the Rfam family "tRNA". From Rfam's summary of the family: Transfer RNA (tRNA) molecules are approximately 80 nucleotides in length. Their secondary structure includes four short double-helical elements and three loops (D, anti-codon, and T loops). Further hydrogen bonds mediate the characteristic L-shaped molecular structure. tRNAs have two regions of fundamental functional importance: the anti-codon, which is responsible for specific mRNA codon recognition, and the 3' end, to which the tRNAs corresponding amino acid is attached (by aminoacyl-tRNA synthetases). tRNAs cope with the degeneracy of the genetic code in two manners: having more than one tRNA (with a specific anti-codon) for a particular amino acid; and 'wobble' base-pairing, i.e. permitting non-standard base-pairing at the 3rd anti-codon position. Lineage: Bacteria; Bacillati; Bacillota; Clostridia; Eubacteriales; Oscillospiraceae. RNAcentral also lists the same sequence under 6 other names. The record is from RNAcentral.
GGAGUGGUAUCGAAGUGGUCGCAACGAGCUUGACUCGAAAUCAAGUUGUCCGCAAGGGCACGUGGGUUCGAAUCCCACCCACUCCGCCA